UUCUGUUCCAUUAUAAGCUAGAUGAAAGAUGGCAGAGGCUCCCUGUAGUUGUGAUCACUGAUUGGUUCUACUCUACUUUCAAUGUAAAAGACCAGAUUCUGAUAAGUUCAAUUAGUGCAAGAACAAUAACAAGCUAACUGAAAAAGUAAUCAAAGCUGCAAAAUGAAGAAAAAUGAGCAAAACUUACUAGAUGAUUGGAUGGCUCGUUUCUUGAAAGUAAUCUUGGCAAAGGCAGCACUGCUUUUCUGACCACCUAUGACAAAGAGCUUCAUGAUGUCAUACGAAAAUUGCUUCAAUAAAAAAUGUACAUAGGCAACAGUAGCAGAGAGGGAGGAGAUGUAUCAGACAAAAUAUACUUUAGUUGAAGCACAAGAUUUCUUGGCGGUGUAAAUGCA
Long non-coding RNA from Rhodamnia argentea, 395 nucleotides. RefSeq lists it as uncharacterized. The record is from RefSeq and is a predicted model, not a curated record. NCBI's taxonomy places the organism in Eukaryota, Viridiplantae, Streptophyta, Magnoliopsida, Myrtales, Myrtaceae. The transcript has 4 exons.